RNAcentral lists this ribosomal RNA (445 nucleotides) under uncultured bacterium. RNAcentral describes it as "partial 16S ribosomal RNA". It matches the Rfam family "Bacterial small subunit ribosomal RNA", at positions 354 to 796 of the family's 1533-position model. The record is from RNAcentral.
GUGAGGAAUAUUGGUCAAUGGGCGAGAGCCUGAACCAGCCAAGUCGCGUGAAGGAAGAAGGAUCUAUGGUUCGUAAACUUCUUUUGCAGGGGAAUAAAGUGCAGGACGUGUCCUGUUUUGUAUGUACCCUGAGAAUAAGGAUCGGCUAACUCCGUGCCAGCAGCCGCGGUAAUACGGAGGAUCCGAGCGUUAUCCGGAUUUAUUGGGUUUAAAGGGUGCGUAGGUGGUUUGAUAAGUCAGCGGUGAAAGUUUGCAGCUUAACUGUAAAAAUGCCGUUGAAACUGUCGGGCUUGAGUGUAGAUGAGGUAGGCGGAAUGCGUGGUGUAGCGGUGAAAUGCAUAGAUAUCACGCAGAACUCCGAUUGCGAAGGCAGCUUACUAGGCUACAACUGACACUGAAGCACGAAAGCGUGGGGAUCAAACAGGAUUAGAAACCCCAGUAGUCC